This 307-nucleotide long non-coding RNA is filed under the name Nicotiana benthamiana. Its description in RNAcentral is "long non-coding RNA (NBEN_LNC015686)". The record is from RNAcentral. Lineage: Eukaryota; Viridiplantae; Streptophyta; Magnoliopsida; Solanales; Solanaceae.
UUAAAUCCAGAAUUUAAUCAUGAAAGAAGAUCAUAAAAUAUUUGACGAUAUUCCUUAAAGAGAAAAGUGAUCGAGAGUCUGAUUGAACCAGUGUUCUUCUUUGGUCAAGUAUUUGUUGUUCUGUGAACUGAUUUGCUAAAGAAGCUGAGAAUUUGAGAUUCCCUUUGAGAUUCUAAGCAACGCCGCCAUCAUCGUCAUCAUCUUAUAAUCAGUAUCAAAGGCAAGAUAAAUGGUUGUAGAAUUUUGUUUCAAUUUAUAUCCAUGAGGGCGGCGUGGAAAUUGCCAAGAGGGAUGAUGUAGGGUAUAG